This 468-nucleotide ribosomal RNA is filed under the name uncultured bacterium. Its description in RNAcentral is "partial 16S ribosomal RNA". It matches the Rfam family "Bacterial small subunit ribosomal RNA", at positions 28 to 507 of the family's 1533-position model. The record is from RNAcentral.
GACGAACGCUGGCGGCGUGCUUAACACAUGCAAGUCGAACGGAAAGGCCCUGCUUUUGUGGGUUGCUCGAGUGGCGAACGGGUGAGUAACACGUGAGUAACCUGUCCUUGACUUUGGGAUAACUUCAGGAAACUGGGGCUAAUACCGGAUAGGAUCUCCUGCUGCAUGGUGGGGGUUGGAAAGUUUCGGCGGUUGGGGAUGGACUCGCAGCUUAUCAGCUUGUUGGUGGGGUAGUGGCUUUCCAAGGCUUUGACGGGUAGCCUGCCUGAGAGGGUGACCGGCCACAUUGGGACUGAGAUACGGCCCAGACUCCUACGGGAGGCAGCAGUGGGGAAUAUUGCAGAAUGGGCGGAAGCCUGAUGCAGCAACGCCGCGUGCGGGAUGACGGCCUUCGGGUUGUAAACCGAUUUCGCCUGUGACGAAGAGUGAGUGACGGUAAUGGGUAAAGAAGCACCGGCUAACUACGUG